UUUUUUUUACCCCUGAUCUGGCCUCUUGUGGCGUGACCAUGAUGAAGAAAUUUUUCAGAAGCCUGGCAAUGUGAUCUUCAUGUAAUGAGUCAGGAUUCGCUAAAGGAAGGAGCAGGGACUCUGGAUCAACCUUUUCCCAGCAAGGAUCUAUGACAAGCAGGAUCUAGCUGCCUCUCCUCCUGCCUCUUCCAAUCUGAAAGGCCGGUAAGUGACUGACAUCCUUUUGUCCUUAUUUCUAUAAAGAAUACAGGCUGCUGCUUUGAUGAUCAAGCCUGGCUAUGUCGUGCAAUGCAUGGUGUGAUUCCUUGAUCUGCAGGUGUGGAGAGACUUUGGAGCAACAGGGGGGAGGCACAGACAAAAAGGGGGCACUGGAACAGCCCUACUGAUAGCUCCAGUAAU
Non-coding RNA from Pelobates cultripes (western spadefoot toad), 399 nucleotides. The record is from the annotation of a GenBank genome assembly. NCBI's taxonomy places the organism in Eukaryota, Metazoa, Chordata, Amphibia, Anura, Pelobatidae.